Molecule: long non-coding RNA, 234 nt
Organism: Thalassophryne amazonica
Lineage: Eukaryota; Metazoa; Chordata; Actinopteri; Batrachoidiformes; Batrachoididae
Exons: 5
Source: RefSeq, a predicted model, not a curated record
UUUAACAUUACUUAUUUUUUACAAAAAAAAUCCUUAUAGAGUGUGACAGUUUUAGGACAUUUGGGAGAGUCUAUAAGCUUAAAACUGCUUACAUAUUGUUCAAAUUCAGCCAGAUGUCCGUGUAAAUUCCUUUUCAAUACUCUACAUAUAUGAAUAUGGAAUUUACCAAACAAUAUUAAAACAUUGAUAAUGUAUUCAGUGAUCUCUCCCACAAGUGUUAUGUAGGUUUUGAAU